Molecule: ribosomal RNA, 253 nt
Filed under: uncultured bacterium
Lineage: Bacteria
Description: partial 16S ribosomal RNA
Rfam family: Bacterial small subunit ribosomal RNA
Source: RNAcentral
UCCAGAGGAUGCAAUCGUUAUCCGGAAUUAUUGGGCGUAAAGAGCACGUAGGCGGCUUAUCAAGUCAGGGGUUAAAUCCCGCGGCUUAACUGCGGAACGGCCUUUGAAACUGAUCGGCUAGAGUAUGGUAGGGGUAGGGGGAAUUCCCGGUGUAGCGGUGAAAUGCGUAGAUAUCGGGAAGAACACCUGUGGCGAAAGCGCCCUCCUGGACCAUAACUGACGCUGAGGUACGAAAGCGAGGGGAGAGAAUAGG